CGGCAAACGGGUGAGUAAUAUCUGGGGAUCUACCUAAAAGAGGGGGAUAACUACUAGAAAUGGUAGCUAAUACCGCAUAAUGUUGAAAAACCAAAAUGGGGGAUCUAUUAAUAAUAGACCUCAUGCUUUUAUAUGAACCCAGACGAGAUUAGCUUGUUGGUAGAGUAAUAGCCUACCAAGGCGACGAUCUCUAGCUGGUCUGAGAGGAUAACCAGCCACACUGGAACUGAGACACGGUCCAG
RNAcentral lists this ribosomal RNA (242 nucleotides) under uncultured bacterium. RNAcentral's name for it is "partial 16S ribosomal RNA". It matches the Rfam family "Bacterial small subunit ribosomal RNA", at positions 96 to 334 of the family's 1533-position model. The record is from RNAcentral.